AGAGAGCCUUCAGUAUGUGGGCCGCCCUCCUGUCAGAACAGUGUUUGUCGUCUCCUGCUAUCUUACGAGCAAACAGCCAUGUUGUAAAUGGCCUCUGAGGAGGACUGGCCUCUAGGAGUUGAGGACCUCAAGCCUACAUCUGCAAGGAAUUGAACGAUGCCAAGAACCCGAACAAACUCUGAAGAUGAGAAUGCGGCCCUGUGCCAAGACUGGCUGCCUUCCCCUGUUUCUGUACCACACUGGUUCCUGAAGCUAUUUGAGUUUGAGACUGCUGGGGUAACCUGACCCACUUCAAGGAUCUGAAAGUAUUUUACAGUUGGUUGAAUCCAUGGAUGUGGAACCCAUGGAUGUGAAGGACUGACUGUACUUUGCACUAGUGGUUCUCAAAGUGUGGGCCCUGGACCAGUGGCAGCAGCAUCACCUGGGAACUUGUGAGAAAUGCACUUUUCAGCUCCUGUUUCAGAUGGACCUAUCAGAAUCUCUGCAGGCUGGAGUGCAAUGGCGUGAUCUCGGCUCGCCGCAACCUCCACCUCCUGGGUUCAAGCAAUUCUCCUGCCUCAGCCUCCUGGGUAGCUGGGAUUACAGG
Molecule: long non-coding RNA, 586 nt
Filed under: Homo sapiens (human)
Lineage: Eukaryota; Metazoa; Chordata; Mammalia; Primates; Hominidae
Description: HSALNT0314771
Source: RNAcentral